CUUACCAGGGAACUACGAGCCCCAGCUUAAAACCCAAAGGACUUGGCGGUGCUUUAGACCCCCCUAGAGGAGCCUGUUCUAGAACCGAUAACCCCCGUUCAACCUCACCCUUUCUUGUUUCUCCCGCCUAUAUACCGCCGUCGUCAGCUCACCCUGUGAAGGCCUCAUAGUGAGCAUAAUUGGUUUAACCUAAAACGUCAGGUCGAGGUGUAGCGCAUGAAAGGGGAAGAAAUGGGCUACAUUCACUGACCCAGUGAAAACGAAUAAUGCCUUGAAACAGACAUUUAAAGGAGGAUUUAGCAGUAAGGAGAGAAUAGAGUGCCCCCCUGAAACUGGCCCUGAAGCGCGCACACACCGCCCGUCACUCUCCCCGAAUAAACUAUACUAGUAAAUAAACAAAUUUCAACUCUAAGGGGAGGCAAGUCGUAACAUGGUAAGUGUACCGGAAGGUGCACUUGGAAAAAC
The sequence is a ribosomal RNA, 465 nucleotides long. It matches the Rfam family "Bacterial small subunit ribosomal RNA", at positions 868 to 1527 of the family's 1533-position model.